ACGCUCGACACCUACGGGAGCAGCAGUGGGGAAUAUUGCACAAUGGGGGAAACCCUGAUGCAGCGACGCCGCGUGAAGGAAGAAGUAUCUCGGUAUGUAAACUUCUAUCAGCAGGGAAGAAAAUGACGGUACCUGACUAAGAAGCCCCGGCUAACUACGUGCCAGCAGCCGCGGUAAUCUGAGCGGGCUGGCAAGGC
This 197-nucleotide ribosomal RNA is filed under the name uncultured bacterium. RNAcentral describes it as "partial 16S ribosomal RNA". It matches the Rfam family "Bacterial small subunit ribosomal RNA", at positions 328 to 539 of the family's 1533-position model. The record is from RNAcentral.